Small nucleolar RNA from Raphanus sativus (radish), 107 nucleotides. Lineage: Eukaryota; Viridiplantae; Streptophyta; Magnoliopsida; Brassicales; Brassicaceae. The record is from RefSeq and is a predicted model, not a curated record.
AAUCCAUGGUGAGGCCAUUCUCUGGACUAGUCAUUGAAACGCUCUCAUGCAUCACAAAAAAGCUCACCAGUGACCUAUCUAAAGGAAGAUAUCUUGUUCCUCAAUGC